GGCGCACGGGUGAGUAACGCGUGGGUAACCUACCCUGGAAUCUGGGAUAACACUGCGAAAGCGGUGCUAAUACCGGGUACGAUCCUCGAGCGGGAGUUCGGGGAUGAGAGCCGGCCUCUUGAAAAAGCUGGUGUUCCGGGAUGGGCUCGCGUCCUAUCAGCUAGUUGGUGGGGUAAUGGCCUACCAAGGCGGCGACGGGUAGCUGGUCUGAGAGGAUGAUCAGCCACACUGGCACUGGAACACGGGCCAGACUCCUACGGGAGGCAGCAGUGAGGAAUUUUGCGCAAUGGGGGAAACCCUGACGCAGCAACGCCGCGUGGGUGAAGAAGGCCUUCGGGUCGUAAAGCCCUGUCAGGUGGGAAGAACGGUCCUUGGGCGAACAGUCCGGGGAUUUGACGGUACCAUCAGAGGAAGCACCGGCUAACUCCGUGCCAGCAGCCGCGGUAAUACGGAGGGUGCGAGCGUUGUUCGGAAUCAUUGGGCGUAAAGGGCGUGUAGGCGGCUGGGUAAGUCUGAUGUGAAAGCCCGGGGCUCAACCCUGGAAGUGCAUUGGAGACUGCUCG
Molecule: ribosomal RNA, 563 nt
Filed under: uncultured delta proteobacterium
Lineage: Bacteria; Deltaproteobacteria
Description: bacterial SSU rRNA
Rfam family: Bacterial small subunit ribosomal RNA
Source: RNAcentral